RNAcentral lists this ribosomal RNA (490 nucleotides) under uncultured bacterium. RNAcentral's name for it is "partial 16S ribosomal RNA". It matches the Rfam family "Bacterial small subunit ribosomal RNA", at positions 29 to 507 of the family's 1533-position model. The record is from RNAcentral.
AGUGAACGCUGGCGGCAGGCCUAACACAUGCAAGUCGAACGGCAGCACAAGAGAGCUUGCUCUCUGGGUGGCGAGUGGCGGACGGGUGAGGAAUGCAUCGGAAUCUGCCCAUUUGUGGGGGAUAACCUCGGGAAACCGGGACUAAUACCGCAUACGACCUACGGGUGAAAGCAGGGGAUCUUCGGACCUUGCGCAGAUGGAUGAGCCGAUGCCGGAUUAGCUAGUUGGAGGGGUAAAGGCCCACCAAGGCGACGAUCCGUAGCUGGUCUGAGAGGAUGAUCAGCCACACUGGGACUGAGACACGGCCCAGACUACUACGGGAAGCAGCAGUGGGGAAUAUUGGACAAUGGGGGCAAGCCUGAUCCAGGCAUGCCGCGUGUGUGAAGAAGGCCUUCGGGUUGUAAAGCACUUUUGUUGGGAAAGAAAAGCAGCCGGUUAAUACCCGGUUGUCGUGACGGUACCCAAAGGAUAAGCACCGGGUAACUUCGUG